UUCAAAUCACUUGUGCUCGGUUUCAUAAGUGUCUAACUAAGCGUAAAUAAAUUAGCCACUCAUAGCUAGUAAAACAGAACACGAAUCCAUUGAAAAGAACAUGAAUUACAAGCUGAUUCUUGGAAGGCAAAGUUCUUCAAGUCGUCCGAUUUCCCUUCUCCCGAUUAGCCGAAUUUACUAGCUGCUACUCUAGCUCCUUGAUCAGAUUUG
This 210-nucleotide long non-coding RNA is filed under the name Gossypium barbadense (sea-island cotton). RNAcentral describes it as "long non-coding RNA (GBAR_LNC022422)". The record is from RNAcentral. Lineage: Eukaryota; Viridiplantae; Streptophyta; Magnoliopsida; Malvales; Malvaceae.